GAUGAACGCUAGCGGCAGGCUUAAUACAUGCAAGUCGAGGGGCAGCACGAAUAGCAAUAUUUGGUGGCGACCGGCGCACGGGUGCGUAACACGUAUACAACCUACCUAUAACAGGGGGAUAGCCUUUCGAAAGAGAGAUUAAUACCCCCGUAAUAAAUUGAGUGGCAUCACUUGAUUUUGAAAGCUACGGCGGUUAUAGAUGGGUAUGCGUCUGAUUAGCUAGUUGGUGAGGUAACGGCUCACCAAGGCGACGAUCAGUAGGGGAUCUGAGAGGACUAACCCCCACACUGGUACUGAGACACGGACCAGACUCCUACGGGAGGCAGCAGUAAGGAUAUGGUCAAUGGAGGCAACUCUGAACCAGCCAUGCCGCGUGCAGGAUGACGGCCCUAUGGGUUGUAAACUGCUUUUGUACCAGAGAAAACCUACUCACGUGUGAGUAGCUGAUAGUAUGGUAAGAAUAAGCAUCGGCUAACUUCG
RNAcentral lists this ribosomal RNA (480 nucleotides) under uncultured bacterium. RNAcentral's name for it is "bacterial SSU rRNA". It matches the Rfam family "Bacterial small subunit ribosomal RNA", at positions 28 to 505 of the family's 1533-position model. The record is from RNAcentral.